ACCUACGGGACGCAGCAGUGGGGGAUAUUGCACAAUGGGGGAAACCCUGAUGCAGCGACGCCGCGUGAGUGAAGAAGUAUUUCGGUACGUAAAGCUCUAUCAGCAGGGAAGAAAAAUGACGGUACCUGACUAAGAAGCCCCGGCUAACUAUGUGCCAGCAGCCGCGGUAAUACGUAGGGGGCAAGCGUUAUCCGGAUUUACUGGGUGUAAAGGGAGCGUAGACGGCAUGGCAAGUCUGAAGUGAAAGCCCGGGGCUCAACCGCGGGACUGCUUUGGAAACUGUUAAGCUGGAGUGCAGGCGAGGG
RNAcentral lists this ribosomal RNA (305 nucleotides) under uncultured bacterium. Its description in RNAcentral is "bacterial SSU rRNA". It matches the Rfam family "Bacterial small subunit ribosomal RNA", at positions 337 to 658 of the family's 1533-position model. The record is from RNAcentral.